This 690-nucleotide ribosomal RNA is filed under the name uncultured Acidobacteriota bacterium. Its description in RNAcentral is "bacterial SSU rRNA". It matches the Rfam family "Bacterial small subunit ribosomal RNA", at positions 15 to 683 of the family's 1533-position model. The record is from RNAcentral. Lineage: Bacteria; Pseudomonadati; Acidobacteriota.
GAUCCUGGCUCAGAAUCAACGCUGGCGGCGUGCCUCAGACAUGCAAGUCGAACGCGAAAGUCCCCUUCGGGGGACAAGUAGAGUGGCGCACGGGUGAGUAACACGUAGGUAAUCUACCUUCGGAUGGGGAAUAACAAUCGGAAACGGUUGCUAAUACCGCAUAAUGCAGCGGCACCUAAUGGUGACAGUUGUUAAAGCGGGGGAUCGAAAGACCUCGCGUCUGAAGAGGAGCCUGCGGCGGAUUAGCUAGUUGGUAAGGUAAUGGCUUACCAAGGCUACGAUCCGUAACCGGCCUGAGAGGGCGGUCGGUCACACUGACACUGACAUACGGGUCAGACUCCUACGGGAGGCAGCAGUCGGGAAUUUUGGGCAAUGGGCGAAAGCCUGACCCAGCAACGCCGCGUGAAGGAUGAAAUCCCUCGGGAUGUAAACUUCGCAAGAACAGGAAGAAUAAGUAGGGGACAAUACCCCCUAUGAUGACGGUACUGUUUGUAAGCUCCGGCUAACUCCGUGCCAGCAGCCGCGGUAAUACGGGGGGAGCAAGCGUUGUUCGGAUUUACUGGGCGUAAAGGGCGCGUAGGCGGCCAGCACAAGUCAGUUGUGAAAUCUCCGAGCUUAACUCGGAAAGGUCAACUGAUACUGUGCGGCUAGAGUGCAGAAGGGGCAACUGGAAUUCUCGGUGUAGCGGUG